GACGAACGCUGGCGGCGUGCUUAACACAUGCAAGUCGAGCGGUAAGGCCCUUUCGGGGGUACGACGAGCGGCGAACGGGUGAGUAACACGUGGGUGACCUGCCCUCAGCUCUGGGAUAAGCCUGGGAAACCGGGUCUAAUACCGGAUAUGACUCCAUGACGCAUGUUGUGGGGUGGAAAGCCUUGUGCGGCUGAGGAUGGGCCCGCGGCCUAUCAGCUUGUUGGUGGGGUGAUGGCCUACCAAGGCGACGACGGGUAGCCGCCUGAGAGGGCGACCGGCCACACUGGGACUGAGACACGGCCCAGACUCCUACGGGAGGCAGCAGUGGGGAAUCUUGCGCAAUGGGCGAAAAGCCUGACGCAGCGACGCCGCGUGAGGGAUGACGGCCU
RNAcentral lists this ribosomal RNA (389 nucleotides) under uncultured bacterium. RNAcentral's name for it is "bacterial SSU rRNA". It matches the Rfam family "Bacterial small subunit ribosomal RNA", at positions 28 to 417 of the family's 1533-position model. The record is from RNAcentral.